UUUUCCAAGAACAGGAAGGUGUGAGCCAUCACUGCUCAUCUGGCACAACUUGCCUUAUGGAAGUAUCCCUAUGCUGUUUCCUCAUUAGCAAGGUUUUUCAGCAUCUCCUUAAACCUACACCUAAAUGAAGGAGCAGAACAGAGCAGAGGCUGUGAUUCUGUGCUUUGCCUCCCAGAGUUUUAACACAUUGAGAAACUGAGUCACAGGGAGAUUGCUCAGGAGCUGGAAUACUGGAAAGCAACCAGUACUGCAGCAAGGAUCACAACUGAGAAAUCUAGGCAGUACACAGAGGAAAGGACUUCUGCUUCCCCUGCAUGAAACCCAGAAUAAACCCCAGCUGAUCAAGUCUUGCUUGCAAGCUCUAAGUGCCUGUUUGUAAGAAAUUUUGAGCAAAAAUUAAAUUUGACUGAAGCACUGCCUUGGGGCUGCUAA
Cyanistes caeruleus (blue tit) is the source of this 432-nucleotide non-coding RNA. The record is from RefSeq and is a predicted model, not a curated record. Lineage: Eukaryota; Metazoa; Chordata; Aves; Passeriformes; Paridae.